CGGAGUACUUGGCGAAACUCCGUCUGGGGAGCGACGGUGGCGGCUACGGACUGUCGCUGUUUACUGGGGUGGCUUAUAGUCUCCAAACGGCCGAAAAUCGAAGCGAACCGCCCGGAACUCCCGUCGUUUUGAGAAACAAAAGCAUGACGGAGCCGCAGUCGGCGCUCUUACUCAGGAGACAGCUGGCAGAGCUGAAUAAGAACCCAGUAGAGGGCUUCUCUGCAGGCUUGAUAGAUGACAGCGACCUCUAUCGAUGGGAAGUUCUAAUCAUUGGCCCACCCGAUACCCUGUAUGAAGGAGGCGUGUUUAAAGCACACCUUACGUUCCCUAAAGACUAUCCCCUCAGACCGCCCAAAUUGAAAUUCAUCACUGAAAUAUGGCACCCCAACGUUGACAAGAACGGCGAUGUAUGUAUUUCGAUAUUGCAUGAGCCCGGAGAAGACAAAUACGGCUAUGAGAAGCCAGAGGAACGCUGGCUCCCUAUCCACACAGUGGAAACCAUCAUGAUUAGCGUCAUAUCCAUGUUAGCAGAUCCCAACGGAGACUCGCCCGCAAACGUAGACGCUGCAAAAGAAUGGAGAGAAGACAGAAAUGGAGAAUUCAAAAGGAAAGUUGCCCGAUGUGUUAGAAAGAGCCAAGAGACUGCUUUUGAGUGACACUCAUCCUGCAGCUUAUAGCUUCAUUGUUUUCAGGGUAAGGGGGAUCGGCUUCCGCUGUGGUCCGUCCACAGGAGCAGUUUUGAGGUGGCGGCCCCCCCUGUACGUAGGGAGUUGGUGUGGUCUGCAGAGCGCUUGUGGCACAGAGAGAGGUCUCCGGUUGAGAAUCAUGGCACUGUUUUCCUGCACUCUGCCCACCUUUCGGCAGAGUUGUUCUUAUCGAACGUCGCCAGACACAUGCUGGCAAAAUAAGCUGCAUCAGAAGGAGAUGCCUGGUAGUGGUGGUGACGCGAAGGCCGAGCAAGUGCCAACCCUAGAAGUCUCUCUUCCCUCCUCUGAAGUCUAUGAACUGCUUCAAUUUUCAGGAAGAAUUGUAAAGACGUGUACAUAGCACCAACGUUAAACAGAUAAUAUAUAAACUGUUCAUAUUUCAUAUUCACCCGGCAACACACACAGUACCAAAUAAAUAGUGCAUCUUUAGUUGGAACAGGAAUCCUGUUGAUUCUUGAAGAUUCUCAUUCUUCUUUUUUUAUUUUUGUGUGCAUCUCUUCUGUUACAAAUUAUUUUCACAAGACUAGUGAAUGGAUCUUGGUGGGGAGAGUUUUUAGGCUUUUUAAACAUGGCUACUUUGGUCCAGAAAGUUCUGUCUGGGAUUGCGUGACCUAAAUGAGGGGAGGUGUCUUUUGAAAGGUGAAGCAUGUGUCUUAUGAUAGAUUUCCUCUUACUCUCAUUUCUUUGGGAUUUCAGAGUUUAUUUUGUCUUGCACAAGGUGCAUUCUUUGGAUUGGGGGGGGGGGAGAGUGUGUUCAUAAAAACAAAGACGGAUUACACCUUGUGUGUGUGUGUUUAAAAUGAAUUUUGGAAUGGUGAUUCACAUGAGACGUGCAGCAUGUUGCAAGAAUAUUUUUGAGUUUUAAUUUCUGUCAAAAGUGCCUCCUGUCAAAUUGCUCAGUAAAUAUAUUCUGCAUUAAACAGAAGUUUAAAAGACUGCACCACACCACUCGAGCAUGAGUGCUAACCAGGAUAAUGAGGAAGACAAAAAGGUUCAUCUAGCAAUAACCCUUUGUUGCGAUCAGUGCAUUUUGAAAAGCUGAAGAUUGAAGCUCUCCUCAUACUUGCCCUCUGAAAAGUUUUUUUUUCUUUUGUGGAUUCUUGCAUAGUACCUUAGAGUAUACUUUAACUGUAGGUGGUCUUAUAGGCAGUCCUGGGUUUUUCGAAAUUCAAAGAUGUUCGCGAGUGUGUUGGUCUGUUGUACAUGAACACUUUUUUUAUUUUUUAUUUGUUGCCUCAUUUUAUGCUGCCACUGAAGGACUACUGCAAUUUUUCUUGCCUAUUGUAAAUAGACAAAAUACUGAUGUAUAUUUUUCAUGUCAUGGAAACCUUCUGUAGUGAGUUCUUCCAAAAUAUAAUUUUCUUUCCAA
RNA transcript from Paramormyrops kingsleyae, 2076 nucleotides. It is a transcript of the gene named ubiquitin-conjugating enzyme E2G 1a (UBC7 homolog, yeast), with no coding region annotated. Lineage: Eukaryota; Metazoa; Chordata; Actinopteri; Osteoglossiformes; Mormyridae. The record is from RefSeq and is a predicted model, not a curated record.